CUAGAAAUGACGAGAUGGGCGUGCUCCUGACUCUUGACCAUUGGGAAAUCUUCCCAGCCUGGUAGCACGCCAAGCCUUGGGGGGUUCAGUGGCGGAGGCGGCUAUCUUUCUGGGAUAGGGGCUGAAUUGUUCCUUUGCUGCUUUUGCUACCCUGUGGGUGCCAUGUUUUAUCUCCUCUGCGAUACCUGUUUGCCAUCCCUGCCUUGGAGCCAGGUGAUUAUGGACUGAAACUUCUACAAAUUUGCACGUUGUUCAGAAUACUAAGAAGCUCCUGGCCAGACAUGGUGGUACAAGCCUAUAAGCCCAGCACUCAGGAGGCAGAGGCAAGAGGAUCACUGAGUUCAAAGCCAGGCUGAACUACAUAGUAAGACCCUGUCUCAAAAAAAAAAAAAAGCUCCUGAUAAAAGAGGAAGACGAGAGAGGUAACAAGAAUGGCCUGCCACACAGGAAAGGAAAACUAAGCACUUGUACUGUCAGGUAAGCAAAAUGUGUGCAUGGAAUAUAUAGCUGUCAUGUGAAGAUUGCCUUGGGUGUGACAAUUGAAGAAAAGAUUUUUUUGAAAGGAUUGUUUUUGUUGUAGAGUUCUGUUGGUAUUUUCGUUGUAGUUCAUAGAGGAUUGCAAGUUCCCCACACACCCCCUUGGUACCAGGGCUUGUAUGUAGUUCAUAGAGGAAUGUAUUUCUGAUAAUUAUCUUUUAGGUUUUGUAAGUACACAGCUGAUGUGAGAAUGUUGAUGUUUAUUCUAAACAUGUAAUAUGUAUUAAGAAUUUAAUACUUUAGUGUAUUGAUAUUUUAUGUUCCUCUUAACUACACAUUGUAUAAUAAAAACUUCCUAGCUGGGUGUAGUGGUGCUGUAAUCCCAGCACUUGGGAGGCUGAGGCAGGAGAAUUGCUUUGAGUUGGAAGCCAGCCUGGGCUACAUAGUGAAUUCAAGGCCAGCCUGAACUACAUAGGGAGACCUUGUCUCAAAACAAACAAACAAACAAAAGACUCCUGACAAAAUAGCAAGACCAACAAGAUGUCAAGUAGGAAGGUACAAGUUCCCAAUGAGAAAUGUAAAUGUAUUGUAUACCUAAAAUGUACCAAUAAAGGAAGUUAAGGAAAAAAAAAGAUGUCAAGUAUGUCUUACAAAAAGGCCAGGAAAGCAAAACACAUAUGCUGUCAGUGUAAGUAAUACAUGUGUAUUGAAUGUGCUGUUGUCAUGUGUGAAGACUAAGUUGUAAUAAUUGAAGUAAAGAUUAUUUUCUGUAGAGUUUGUUGGCAUUUUCUUUGUAGUUCAUAUAGGAAUUUCUGUUGGUUUUUUUAAGACUUUGU
Molecule: long non-coding RNA, 1313 nt
Filed under: Heterocephalus glaber (naked mole-rat)
Lineage: Eukaryota; Metazoa; Chordata; Mammalia; Rodentia; Bathyergidae
Description: lncRNA (ENSHGLG00000040078.1)
Source: RNAcentral